UUUUAAACCCUAAAAAGAACAUUUUCUUUCUUUCUUUGACAUUGCGCCGUAAUGUUCUCCUUCUGCCCUCCUAUGGCGAUGAAACAAAGGAGCUUCAACGACGCCACACCGAACGUGGAACAACGGGACAGCUGCUGCGACAUGAGGACGUGUGCGGCGCUGGGAAAACUGCCUGGAACUUUCUGGGCCACUCUGUAAUUGGGCUAGGGUUAAUGGUUUGGUCUUUAUUGGGUUCAAUUGGUUUAAUGGGUUUAGGUUAUUUGAGACUCGAACUCAUAGGGAAGAAAAUAGAUUUAUGGAUGGAAUCAAAUAUGUAGUAGUUACAGACAAAAGUAUUCGGUUAUUGGUGAAAAAUCAAUAUACUUCUAAUGUCGAAUCAGGAUCAACUAGGACAGAAAUAAAGCAUUGGGUCGAACUCUUCUUAUUUGUAAAAAUGGAUUAUGUAUUUAUUUGGGCCCGGGUAAAAAUGGCCUAUUACAUAUGUAAUUUGAGAUUGUGAGGUUUUGGUGGAAGUACGAGAACAAUGGGAAGCUUGAGCAUGAAUGGGGAAGGAGGUGAAAGGAUGAAUGUUGUUUUGCAAAGUUUCUCUCUUUUGUUUGGUUGACCAAAAAAUCUAGUAAAAUGAAAGAAAAGUUUGAACUUUUUUUUUCUAAUUUUUUAA
This is a long non-coding RNA of Gossypium raimondii (Peruvian cotton), 661 nucleotides long. RefSeq lists it as uncharacterized. The transcript has 2 exons. The record is from RefSeq and is a predicted model, not a curated record. Lineage: Eukaryota; Viridiplantae; Streptophyta; Magnoliopsida; Malvales; Malvaceae.